This 200-nucleotide unclassified non-coding RNA is filed under the name Oryza sativa (Asian cultivated rice). RNAcentral describes it as "partial microRNA MIR468h-1 precursor". Lineage: Eukaryota; Viridiplantae; Streptophyta; Magnoliopsida; Poales; Poaceae. The record is from RNAcentral.
GCCGUACUCCCUCCAUCCCAUAAAAAAUAAUUUAGUACUAGAUGUGACACAUUCUAAUACUACGAAUCUAAAUAAUUUAGUACUAGAUGUGACACAUCCUAGUACUACGAAUCUGGACAUACCUUUGUCAAGAUUCGUUGUACUAUAAUAUGUCAUAUCCAGUUCUAGAUUUAUUUUUUUCGGGAUGGAGGAAGUAUAUA